UUUCACCGAGGUGAGUAAAUGGUAAAGGUUUUAUUUUCGAUAAAAGGAUUUGUUAUAAAUUAUACUCCAUUGGUCUUUUUGUGUUUUUCUACCCACCUUUACCUCCGUGACGGUGAGAUAUCGUGAUGUCUUUACUGGGUUAGUGUAGCUCAUUCCUUAUUUAAUCAUUUCAGAUCAAGAGGACAUCGUUCCCGAGCCGCUUCCGCAGGAGGACGAC
Molecule: long non-coding RNA, 217 nt
Filed under: Carica papaya (papaya)
Lineage: Eukaryota; Viridiplantae; Streptophyta; Magnoliopsida; Brassicales; Caricaceae
Description: long non-coding RNA (CPAP_LNC009910)
Source: RNAcentral